Long non-coding RNA from Cebus imitator (Panamanian white-faced capuchin), 537 nucleotides. RefSeq lists it as uncharacterized. NCBI's taxonomy places the organism in Eukaryota, Metazoa, Chordata, Mammalia, Primates, Cebidae. The record is from RefSeq and is a predicted model, not a curated record. The transcript has 3 exons.
UCCCUUGUCUGAUUCGGUGCUGGCUGGGGGCCAGGACUGCCUCCCUAAACAAACAGGCAGGGGCACAGACAGCCCGGGGUUCAGUUGUUGCACUUACUCCUCUUGCCACAGCAGGAACAAGAGGCGCCCGGAAAACCCUAGCUCUUCUCCGUCUCUUCCGUGAGCACACCCUGGCCCUGGGGCCGGAGAGCUUUCGAUGCAGGCGCAGACACGAACUCCAGAACUCCGGAGGCAACAGCAAGGCUGGCCACACCACCCACCCCACUACCUCCGGCCCCGCCACUCAACCAGCCAUCAGUCCCUUCACUGCCAGUGUUCGUCGACCAUGCAAACAACCAAGCAAAGAACUCAUUAAGCCCAAAGCAAUUUUAGAAAGACUCACAGAGGCUGCUAGUGCCAAUGCUGCUGGUGCUGCUGCUGAGGAGUGCCCAGGGUUGGGCGCCAGGGGAGUUGGAGUCAAUAACCAUCACUGUCAGAUCUGCCGACCCCCAAGCCAGUUUCUCCAGUCAGGCUGGAGUGCAAUGGUGCAAUCUUGGC